This is an RNA transcript of Bufo gargarizans (Asiatic toad), 2698 nucleotides long. It is a transcript of the gene named suppressor of cytokine signaling 1-like, with no coding region annotated. The record is from RefSeq and is a predicted model, not a curated record. NCBI's taxonomy places the organism in Eukaryota, Metazoa, Chordata, Amphibia, Anura, Bufonidae. The transcript is spliced from 4 exons.
CGAAGUCUGCGAAGGAGCCGCUGCAGGAGUCGCGGCAUUCCCGGCCAGUAAGUGCGGCGGUUCUGCUUGCGUCUUCUGGCGGAGUUUUGUCUGUUGUGAGGUGAGGUUAGUAAGUGGCGGGAGUCCUGCUCACCCCACAACUUCUUCCGUCAGCCGGGCAGCUGGUUCCUGAUGUAGCUGAGUGGGAUGGAUACACACUGUUUUUGGAAGAUGAAGAUGUUAUUUGACGCAUGGAGUCUUUGAAAUGGUUGGAGGGGGGGCCUGCCCCCAGGAAGAAUCAAGACAAGUUAUUUAUCCUGUCCCUGGUCCUCCCAUUGUUGUGCCCCAGUCUCAUUACCGUCUUUUCCGGAACAGUGAAAGAAAACUUGUUGAGCUAUCUGUGCUCACUCUCCAGGCCAGUGGCUUCUACUGGGGUCCUCUUCCUACAGCUGAGGCCCAUUCCAUGCUGGCAAAAGAGUCAGUUGGCACAUUUCUUGUACGUGACAGCUCUCAGGGAAAUCACCUAUUUAGUGUCAGUGUCAAAAUGGAAUCAGGUCCAGUUAGUGUACGGGUCCUAUUUUUUAAAGGAAGGUUUUGGUUAAGAGAGCUCUUUUCAGAUUGUCCAGUGAAACUUCUAGAGCAAGCUGUUGAGAGGAGCAAGAAAAGUCCCCUGAUUUGCCAAAAUGGGAUUAAAUUGGUACUGUCAAAGCCACUGCGCAGAACUCGAAUCCUCAGUUUGCAGCAGCUAUGCCGUCUAUGCAUUGUGACACAAUACGGAAGAGAGGGAUUACCCAGCUUGCCUAUUCAACCUGCACUCCGUAACUAUAUUGAAGAAUUUCCUUUCAAAAUAUGAAGAACCUUAAAGGAUAAAACACAACAUCAGCUCCGCCGAGCCCCCGGCCAAAGUGUGGAAGUGGCGUCCGAGAUCCCCAAGGCCCAAGCCAAGUAACUAGACUAAGAAGAACAGUUUUGGACAAAGUGUGACAGCUGGUCCCAGAACAUAAAUCAUCAUGUAGCCCCAGAAUAAUCUGUAUACACACAUGCUAUAAAUGUACCGUGAACCUGCUUGUUUGCCAUGGUGUAAAGAAUUGAACAAGGAUGCACACUAGCAUGUGCAAGCUCUUAUUCAUAUUCCCAUUUCCCUGCUUAUAGCCUGAUUAUAGGCCGUGUCAGGUGUACAGUCCUUUUGGCCAACUGUCCAUAGAUUAGUACUUUCAAGCAAUGCAAAAUUGCACGUGGUAAGGAGUGGAAACACGAGAUUGCCAUAUUGGAGAAAACACACUCUCUUAACACUAAAUGCAGCGUUGGUUUUUAGUUGCCUUAGUUGUUACCUCAAAGCCCAGUUCUCAAUUAUUUCAUCAGGUUGAGGCUGAUUGACUGUUAUUGCCAUACCUACUAUUCUGAUAUUUAGCUCCUAGAUGUAAAUAAUGAUGGGCAGCAGAAACAUGCUAGUCUGUUACGAAUGAAAUUAUAUAAGCUGCCUUCAUAGUACAAUAAAAUAAUACUUGCUUUUUUAACCUUGUAGUUUAGAUUUCCUCAAGGGGAAAAAAAGGUCUUUAAGAUGUUUUCCGAGCUUAUAGAAAUACAGAAAUGUAUCUGUAUGUAUCUGAAUAAUCAUCUGUUUAUACUACCAUAGCUCAGAAGUACUUAUCACUUUCAUUAUCUUGUACAGCUCUGUGCAGCACUGUUGUUUUAAUGCAGCCAGAGUGUACUGUGGGUAAGAUCAUCAAUGUGAAGGACUACAGUUCCUGUGAUUAUUUUCCCCUGACAUUACCUCUAAUAACAGAUGCUUGCAUACUCUUAGCAAGUGCUGUAAUUUCUCCCUGUCUGCUCUGCUGUUCUGUCGUUCACUGGCUCUGCAUUAUCUGCUACCCAGCCUGUGAAACACUAUCCACUCAGAGACGGGGAAGGAGGUGAACCAGGAUACAGUGGAGGUAAGAAACAUGUGAUGUGUGACCUCUCCUACUGCAGGGAGGGGGAGAGGGGAGAUAACCCGCUGUUCUGAGUAUGGGACAUCACACAAGCAGGAGAUAAACCCCAGGAGCAUGGUCAUUUGACUGCAUGGGAGACUUGCUUACAGAGGCAUCUCAACUACAGACAGUACCUUAGGAAGUGAUGAAUCUCAACUGCAGUUAACCCAUUUGCACCCGAUUUUUUUUUUUUUUAAAGAUUGAAAAACCCAUUUGAAAUGUAUGUUUCCUAUUAUUUUAGUUAUCUACCUGUUACACCUCAGGAUCUUUUCACAUCUAUGUGGGAGGUUCCAUUGCUUUUUCCUCAUUCUAGGUGGGAGAAAUAGGGGUUCAGUGCUAUUUGUCUUGUCAAAAUGACACCUCAGUUUCCAUUAUAAGUCAGUGUGGUCCAUUAGAUGCCGCCAGUGUCCAUCGUAUAACAGAUCUGGCAACUUUUCAUGCAUAAUGGAAACCACAAGGCAGAUGGCAACAGAGUCUUAUUUUUGCUAGUCUUGCAACAGACUGAUGAGUGAAUUAAUUGCAUGUUUUUGCAGUAGUAUUUUAUUAAGUUACUGAUUCAGUGCAGACUAUAGACUAGACUGAUAUGGAAUAUGUAGUCUUACCUUAAGUACAUGCUAUAUCACACACUGCACUUAACAUUUGUAAUAUAAUUAUCUGUAAUUUUACUGGUAUGUAUUUUCAUUAUAUUUGAUCAUCUUGUUCUGAAAAUUUGAUAUUGCUGUUUUAAGCAAAAUGUUUACAAAGAAACA